GCCGAGCUUAGUGUCGCAUGCCUGUAGUCCCAGCUACUCGGAGGCUGCGGUGGGAGGAACACUUGAGCCCAGGAGUUCUGGGCUGUAGUGCGCUAUGCCGAUUGGGUGUCCGCGCUAAAUUUGGCAUCAAUAUGGUGACCUCCCGGGAGCUGGGGACCACCAGGUUGCCUAAGGAGGGGUGAACCGGCCCAGGUGGGAAACUGAGCAGGUCAAAACUCCCUUGCUGAUCAGUAGUGGGAUGGCGCCUGUGAAUAGCCACUGCACUCCAGCCUGUGCGACAUAGGGAGACACCGUUU
Unclassified non-coding RNA from Callithrix jacchus (white-tufted-ear marmoset), 296 nucleotides. It matches the Rfam family "Metazoan signal recognition particle RNA". Rfam says of the family: The signal recognition particle (SRP) is a universally conserved ribonucleoprotein. The record is from Ensembl. NCBI's taxonomy places the organism in Eukaryota, Metazoa, Chordata, Mammalia, Primates, Cebidae.